GGUCAAGCUACUAAGGGCACACGGUGGAUGCCUUGGCACUUCGAGGCGAUGAAGGACGUGGCAAGCUGCGAUAAGCUGCGGUGAGGAGCAAGCAUCCUUUGACCCGCAGAUUUCCGAAUGGGGGAACCCACAUGAGCACUACUCAUGUACCUCUGCCUGAAUAAAAUAGGGCAGUCGGAGCAAACCUGGGGAAGUGAACCAUCUCAGUACCCAGAGGAAGAGAAAACAACAGUGAUUCCGCUAGUAGCGGCGAGCGAAAGCGGAACAGCCUAAACCACGAGGACAUGUCUUCGUGGGGUCGUGGGAUCAGACAUUGUGGAGUUACAAAGGUUGAGGUUAGCGGAACGGUUUGGAAAGACCGACCAUAGAGCGUGAUAGUCGUGUACGCGAAAACUUACAACUCUCCCGUCUGACACCCGAGUAAUGCGGAACACGAGGAAUUCUGCAUGAAUUUGCCGGGACCAUCCGGUAAGGCUAAAUACUCCGAAGUGACCGAUAGUGAACCAGUACCGUGAGGGAAAGGUGAAAAGAACCCCGGUGAGGGGAGUGAAAUAGUACCUGAAAC
Molecule: ribosomal RNA, 565 nt
Filed under: Acidobacteriota bacterium
Lineage: Bacteria; Pseudomonadati; Acidobacteriota
Description: partial 23S ribosomal RNA
Rfam family: Bacterial large subunit ribosomal RNA
Source: RNAcentral